Molecule: ribosomal RNA, 30 nt
Filed under: Vincetoxicum flexuosum var. tenue
Lineage: Eukaryota; Viridiplantae; Streptophyta; Magnoliopsida; Gentianales; Apocynaceae
Description: Vincetoxicum tenue partial 26S ribosomal RNA
Source: RNAcentral
GAUCGCAACGAUUGCGACCCCAGGUCAGGC